GUAAAAAAUUUAUAAGAAUAUGAUGUUGGUUCAGAUUAAGCGCUAAAUAAGGACAUGACACAUGCGAAUCAUACGUUUAUUAUUGAUAAGAUAAUAAAUAUGUGGUGUAAACGUGAGUAAUUUUAUUAGGAAUUAAUGAACUAUAGAAUAAGCUAAAUACUUAAUAUAUUAUUAUAUAAAAAUAAUUUAUAUAAUAAAAAGGAUAUAUAUAUAAUAUAUAUUUAUCUAUAGUCAAGCCAAUAAUGGUUUAGGUAGUAGGUUUAUUAAGAGUUAAACCUAGCCAACGAUCCAUAAUCGAUAAUGAAAGUUAGAACGAUCACGUUGACUCUGAAAUAUAGUCAAUAUCUAUAAGAUACAGCAGUGAGGAAUAUUGGACAAUGAUCGAAAGAUUGAUCCAGUUACUUAUUAGGAUGAUAUAUAAAAAUAUUUUAUUUUAUUUAUAAAUAUUUAAUAUUUAUAAUAAUAAUAAUAAUAAUAUAUAUAUAUAAAUUGAUUAAAAAUAAAAUCCAUAAAUAAUUAAAAUAAUGAUAUUAAUUACCAUAUAUAUUUUAUAUGGAUAUAUAUAUUAAUAAUAAUAUUAAUUUAUUAUUAUUAAUAAUAUAUUUUAAUAGUCCUGACUAAUAUUUGUGCCAGCAGUCGCGGUAACACAAAGAGGGCGAGCGUUAAUCAUAAUGGUUUAAAGGAUCCGUAGAAUGAAUUAUAUAUUAUAAUUUAGAGUUAAUAAAAUUAAUUAAAGAAUUAUAAUAGUAAAGAUGAAAUAAUAAUAAUAAUUAUAAGACUAAUAUAUGUGAAAAUAUUAAUUAAAUAUUAACUGACAUUGAGGGAUUAAAACUAGAGUAGCGAAACGGAUUCGAUACCCGUGUAGUUCUAGUAGUAAACUAUGAAUACAAUUAUUUAUAGUAUAUAUUAUAUAUAAAUAAUAAAUGAAAAUGAAAGUAUUCCACCUGAAGAGUACGUUAGCAAUAAUGAAACUCAAAACAAUAGACGGUUACAGACUUAAGCAGUGGAGCAUGUUAUUUAAUUCGAUAAUCCACGACUAACCUUACCAUAUUUUGAAUAUUAUAAUAAUUAUUAUAAUUAUUAUAUUACAGGCGUUACAUUGUUGUCUUUAGUUCGUGCUGCAAAGUUUUAGAUUAAGUUCAUAAACGAACAAAACUCCAUAUAUAUAAUUUUAAUUAUAUAUAAUUUUAUAUUAUUUAUUAAUAUAAAGAAAGGAAUUAAGACAAAUCAUAAUGAUCCUUAUAAUAUGGGUAAUAGACGUGCUAUAAUAAAAUGAUAAUAAAAUUAUAUAAAAUAUAUUUAAUUAUAUUUAAUUAAUAAUAUAAAACAUUUUAAUUUUUAAUAUAUUUUUUUAUUAUAUAUUAAUAUGAAUUAUAAUCUGAAAUUCGAUUAUAUGAAAAAAGAAUUGCUAGUAAUACGUAAAUUAGUAUGUUACGGUGAAUAUUCUAACUGUUUCGCACUAAUCACUCAUCACGCGUUGAAACAUAUUAUUAUCUUAUUAUUUAUAUAAUAUUUUUUAAUAAAUAUUAAUAAUUAUUAAUUUAUAUUUAUUUAUAUCAGAAAUAAUAUGAAUUAAUGCGAAGUUGAAAUACAGUUACCGUAGGGGAACCUGCGGUGGGCUUAUAAAUAUCUUAAAUAUUCUUACA
This 1646-nucleotide non-coding RNA is filed under the name Saccharomyces cerevisiae YJM1444. RNAcentral describes it as "15S ribosomal RNA". It matches the Rfam family "Bacterial small subunit ribosomal RNA". The record is from RNAcentral. Lineage: Eukaryota; Fungi; Ascomycota; Saccharomycetes; Saccharomycetales; Saccharomycetaceae.